UAGACAGUUUUGUUUGGUGACGAGUUUCU
Molecule: non-coding RNA, 29 nt
Filed under: Mus musculus (house mouse)
Lineage: Eukaryota; Metazoa; Chordata; Mammalia; Rodentia; Muridae
Source: RNAcentral